GAUGAACGCUGGCGGCGUGCCUAAUACAUGCAAGUCGAGCGAACGGACGAGAAGCUUGCUUCUCUGAUGUUAGCGGCGGACGGGUGAGUAACACGUGGAUAACCUACCUAUAAGACUGGGAUAACUUCGGGAAACCGGAGCUAAUACCGGAUGAUAUUUUGAACCGCAUGGUUCAAAAGUGAAAGACGGUCUUGCUGUCACUUAUAGAUGGAUCCGCGCUGCAUUAGCUAGUUGGUAAGGUAACGGCUUACCAAGGCAACGAUGCAUAGCCGACCUGAGAGGGUGAUCCGCCCAACUGGAACUGAGACACGGUCCAGACUCCUACGGGAGGCAACAGUAGGGAAUCUUCCGCAAUGGGCGAAAGCCUGACGGAGCAACGCCGCGUGAGUGAUGAAGGUCUUCGGAUCUUAAAACUCUGUUAGUAGGGAAGAACAUAUGUGUAAGUAACUGUGCACAUCUUGACGGUACCUAAUCAGAAAGCCACGGCUAACUACGUG
RNAcentral lists this ribosomal RNA (497 nucleotides) under uncultured bacterium. Its description in RNAcentral is "partial 16S ribosomal RNA". It matches the Rfam family "Bacterial small subunit ribosomal RNA", at positions 28 to 507 of the family's 1533-position model. The record is from RNAcentral.